Molecule: long non-coding RNA, 3397 nt
Organism: Macaca mulatta (Rhesus monkey)
Lineage: Eukaryota; Metazoa; Chordata; Mammalia; Primates; Cercopithecidae
Source: Ensembl
GGCAGGUCACGCCAGCCAGAGGUGGCAAUCUGGUUUGGUCUUCUUUGCAAGGUGUGUCAGGGUUGUUGUUUUGUUCUUUGCAAUAAAUCUUUUUGCUGUCAACUGUGUGUCUGCGAUGCAUUUAUGAGUUGUAACACUCACAGCGAAGGUCUGUAGCUCCGCUCCUGAAGCCAGCGAGACUAGGAACCCUCCCUGGGAGGCAUGAACAAUGUUGAACGCGCUGUCUUAAUUAACUGUACCACUGCGAAGGUCGGCAGCCUCACUCCUGAGGCCACAGAGACCACGAACCGACCAGAAGGAAAAAACUCCGAAGAAACUCAUCUUUAAGAACUGCAAAACUCACUGCGACGGUCUGUAGCAUCAUUCUUGAAGUCAGUGAGACCAAGAACCCAUGAAUUCCAGACACAAUCUGACUUGUCCUUGUGUGUGGUAAACUCAGUCUUUACCCACAAGUGAGUUUGUAACUGGUUCAUCUGUCCAUUGGGAAUGUUUACUGUGGGCCUACCAUGUACCAGGGACUACGCCAUGCUUGGAAGACCUGCAUAGAGUUUACAGCUGGAUUACCUGCACAUUGCUGGAUGGCAAAACGAAAGCCUCUCCAAAAGUCUGACUCUGCUUGGAGGCCCUUUACGCUCAUAUGGGGAGACAAUAGCAUUAGUGGUUGGAAGAAGGCUUGCUACACUUUGGAAAUAGCAGUCAUUCUCUCCAACCUGGAUUCUACCUGUGCACGGUUUGGUAGCUCCAUGUUCAGUUUCUGGAUUUAGACUGCCCAGACUGACGUCUUGGCUUUGGCACCUACUAACAGAAUAAACUACCGGAGGGACAGGGGUACUGGAAACAGUUCUGGAUAAACUACUGGAGGGACAGGGGUACUGGAAACAGUCGUCCCUCCCUCCUGCAAACUGGCAGGGUUGCCCCCUUACUCGGAUGAAGCCACCACCGUUCAGGGCAGGGCAUCCUGGGAGGUGGACUUCUCCAGAGCCCCCGGCAGGAAGUGAGGCUUUCCACUGUACUAACCCACUCUAGGACUUUAGACAAGAGAGAGGAGGUCAGGAUCUGCGUGUUUCACUGCUUUCCUUUCUUUCCUUCACUUUCUUCUUCCUUCUAUUCCAGAGACCAGAGUACAUACUUUUUUUUUUCAUUUUACUGAGAUCUGCUUACAUCAGGCACCCUCCCUUCUCAAACCAAGCCUUUUGUAUUGGCCAAGAUAUGAGGAAUCAAAAUGAUUCACAGCUAGGAAAAACAAAUCAGGAAAUAUUUAAAAACCACUGUACUCAUGAACACAAACACAGAGUACCAUUUCUCUGAAAAAUACUUACCACUUUUUGAAUUCAGAGAUAUCAUCAAUUGUGAAAUGCAUCACCAGCUUUAUUUCAGCUUCUUAGGGAAAAAUUCUAUUACAUUAGCUGAAUAACUAAUGAACUAAUUAACAGUGACACAAAUGUAUAGUUAUAAACCACUUUUGUUUCUCAAUCAAGGUUUAAGUCUAUGAUUUUUAAAUUUUCGUUAAUAGCGCAAAGUUUCUUUGGAAAAAUUUUGGCCAUAGCAAGUAAUUAUGUAGUAAACCAUAAAGAUAAUAAGUUUUUUACAAUCCAGGUUGUUGAACUCAAAAAUUUAGUACAUUUAGGCUUACCAGUAUAACGUAAGUUGUAUCAAAUAAUAUUAGGUUACUGUCUGUAUUUUUUCUUUGAUUAAAAGGUUUCUUUUGCUUUCUUUGCUAAAGUGAAAGAUCUCUAAUGGUUAGCUAAAUAGUUUCUAUUGCAAAGCAGUCACUCUCGACAAAUCUAAGUUCAUUUCCUAAGUGAUUCACCUCCAUGCAUGAUUAGGUCACUCUAACACUUGGGGGCACUGAAAUGUGUCUGCUAAAUUUGGAAAUACCCAGCGAUGACCAAAAUAAAGAUAAAAGCAGGAACUGACCAUCUACUAGAAAGGCUGACGUGGGAGGACUGCAUGAGCCCGGGGGGUUGAGGCUGCAGUGAGCUGAGAUAGCACCUCUGCACUCCAGCCUGGACAACAGAGUGAGACCCUGUCUCAAAAAAAAAAAAAAAAAAAAAAAAAAGUCAUAAUUCCAAAAGGUAGUUUUUGAAAACUACUAAUUAUAAAUUUUUGGCAAGACUGAUAAAGACAAUAGAGAAGGCACAGUUUACUGACAUUGGGAAGGAAAGAGGAACAUUAACACAGAAUCCACAGGGAUCAAAAAGGUGAUAAGAAAACAAUGAAAUCCCAGCAAUUUGGAAGGCCGAGGUGGGCUGAUCACAUGAGGCCAGAAGUUUAAGACCAGCCUGGCCAACACGGUGAAACCUCAUCUCUACUAAACAUAAAAAAAAUUAGCUGGAUGUGGUGGCAUAUGCCUGUAAUCCCAGCUACUUGGGAGGCUGAGGCAGGAGAAUCACUUGAACCCGGGAGGCAGAGGUUGCAGUAAGCCAAAAUCAUGCCACUGCACUCCAGCUCAGGCAACAGAGUGAGACUCCGUCUCAAAAGAAAAAAAUAAAAAAAGUAAAAGACAGGAAAAUUACAGACUAGUAACUGUCAUCAACAUAGAUGGAAAAAUUCCUAACAAAAAUAUUACAAAAUCAAAUGCAGAAAUAUAGAAAAAGGAUGGUUCAUCAUAACCAAGUGAUUUUUAUCCCAGGAAUGUGAAGUUGGUUUAACAUUUGAAAAUCAAUCAAUAUGAUUCAUCAUCUUAACAGAAUAAAGGAGAGAAACCAUAUGACCAUGUCGAUACAUAAAGAGAAAGCAUUAAAUAUUUUUCUAUUUAUGACAAUAUCUCUCAACUAAUUAGACCUAGAAGGAAGCUUUUUCAGUCCGAUUAUUGGAAUCUACAAAAACUACAGGUAACAUAAUUAAUGGUUCAGGAUUGAAUGUUUUUUCCCUAAAUUCAGAAACAAGGCAAAGUUAUCCACUCUCACUACUUCUAUUUAAUAUGGUACUGGAAGUCCUAGCUAGUAUAGUAAGGCAUACAAAUAAAACAAAAGUCAUAUAGAAGAAAGAAAUAGUUAAACUAGUUUUAUUCUUAGAUGGCAUGAUUGUCUAUGUUGGCAAUUCUAAAUGAAUCUACAAGAACUCUGGAAGCUCACAGGAUAAAAAGUCAAUCUACAGAAUUAAUUUAUUUCUGUGUACUAGCAACCAACAGUUGGAAAAUCAAAUGUAAAAACCAGUACCAUUUAUAAUACAAUAAACAAUUUAAUAUACUUACAAAUAACAUGUAAAACUCCAUAUUGAAAACAAAAUACUGUGGAGAGAAACUAAAGAAGACCUGAUCCAUGAGUCUUUCUGUCCUUAUGCCAUAGCACAGUCUAUUAAUAAUUUUAUAAUUUUACAAUAAAAUUUAAAAUCAGAUAACUGAAGUCCUCUAACUUUCUUCUUCUUUUUAAAGAUUGUUUUGGCUAUUCCAGCU